Long non-coding RNA from Bicyclus anynana (squinting bush brown), 1952 nucleotides. RefSeq lists it as uncharacterized. Lineage: Eukaryota; Metazoa; Arthropoda; Insecta; Lepidoptera; Nymphalidae. The record is from RefSeq and is a predicted model, not a curated record. The transcript has 5 exons.
GGUCAUUAUGUAACUCGGUGAACGCUUUAAAAUCACAGUCACGACAACAAAUGACAGCGAUUUUUCGUUUUUGCGAUCAUGUAACACACAUCUCCCACCGAAAUGACGUCAUCUUGGAUCGUUCUCUGUCACGGUCACUUGUAGGGAUUUAUCCAAGUUAUAACGCAGUUUUUACGUAUCGAUAGUCAGUUUAAGCGAUUAUGUAAGCAUAAUGAUCAUACAACUGGGUGACACAGAAGUUGUCAAAGUCAAUCGCUAUAGAAACUAAUACCGAGCAGUGUUUUAAUAAAGUUUACUUGACGCCUGUGAUUCAAUAAUUACAAAUAAAAGUACUUUUAGGAUUUUUUUGAAUUUUGUACUAUACCUUGUAAGUAAGGUAUUAGUUUGUAAGUCAAUAAAAUCAGAAUUAGAAAAGUUUUUCAUGUAAAAUAUGACGAAAGUUGAGAAUAUAUAGUAGGUACCUACCUACAUACUUAUUUCAUAAAGCAGAAUUACAGUUUUAGAGUUAGUUGAAGUGAAUUUAAUUAAUUGUGUUAUUUUUGUAGUGUUUACCGACAUUGCCAUGUACAAUACAAUGCAUGUAGCAUUUGUAUUGUACGCGGAAACGGAACGAAAAAGAUGUCUUUGUCGAGUUCAUUGCAAAACUUUCGUGUCGCGAUACCAGCAGGUUUUAGAAGAAAUACAAAGUCUUCGAACAACUGCUGUUCGCAAUGAAUUAGAGAUAAGUCUUGGCAGCUUUAAACUUUUAUGCCAAUGGAUCAUACAAAUGGCUUUGUGAUGGCUAAGGCAUCUUUUAGCAAAUGCCUACAUGAAGUCGCUGACUCUCCUGAAUACCCCAGCUGUUUAAAAAAAAUGUGUUAAGUUCCCUUUGCAUUAAACACAAAAUCAUUAUAAAUAAAUUUAUGAAAAAAUUUGGAUUGCCCGGGUAUUAGGGCGCAUUGAUUGCACCCAUGUGACAAUAGUUCGGCCUACAAGCCAAGAGCUACUAGGAGGCUAACAAUUAGAAUUGAAUAAAAGCAUGGUACCUCCUUUUAUUUAAACAUUAACUUAUUUAUAUAUUGUCAAUUAAUAUUUCAGAUAUGUGAUGCCAAUCUAAUAAUAACAUAGUGGAUGCUCAAUUUGGUGGUGCAUCUUAUGACUUGUACAUAUGGAACCAGUGCAAUAAGACCACUUGAGGAAAACCUGCCCAAUAGGGACCGCUGUUGGUUGUUAGGUGACCAAUGUUUGCAUGAUGACCCCCAUCUUGGGAGCUGCUCCUAGAUCCCAUGAAGAUAUGCACAACAUUACUGUGUCAGAAAUACGGUGGAGCCUUGUAGUUGGGUGCAUAUUGUAAAAUGUUUCCUCACUCCAAAACCAUGAACUCUGGUUUUCUAAACCCUCAAGCUAUGCAGCCGAAGGAGGAGACUUAUCACAGGAGAAUCACUAAUAAUUUUGAAGAAGUGAAGAGCUUAACAAUGUUUCAACCAACACCUAAAGAAGCUUUCACUUGGCUGUUAGAUCAAGGGCUGGAUACAGAAAACAGUAAUCCUUGUGAUGGCAGUAUUGUCCAAGGAUUCCUCACUCAAAACCAUGAUAACAAGUUGCUAGAACCCUCAAGCUAUGCAGACAAAGGACUGGAUAUAUUUUUUCGUGACCAAGCCUUCUGUAUAAUUAUUUAUACUUAAACCAUACAAAGCACUAUCUAGCCCCAAAGUAGGCAUACAGAGUAGCUUGUGUUGUGGGUACUAAGAUAGUUGAUAUUAUAAUAUUCAUUUACAUUUAUAUACUACCUAUAAAUACUUAUAUAAUGUAUAAAUACACACACACUGGAAAAAACCCAUGCUCUUCACACAAAUAUUUUCCAGGUGUGGGAAUCGAACCCAUGACCGUGGAUGCAGGAGCACUACUUACUGCGCCACGCGUAUGUGUUUUUAUUUUGAAGCAAAUUAUUAAAGUUGAUAAUUCAAAUUGUA